Molecule: ribosomal RNA, 253 nt
Filed under: uncultured bacterium
Lineage: Bacteria
Description: partial 16S ribosomal RNA
Rfam family: Bacterial small subunit ribosomal RNA
Source: RNAcentral
UACAGAGGUCUCAAGCGUUGUUCGGAAUUACUGGGCGUAAAGCGUGCGUAGGCGGCGAGGUAAGUCAGAUGUGAAAUGCCGGGGCUCAACCCCGGAACUGCAUCCGAUACUGCCUUGCUCGAGUAGUGGAGGGGAGUCUGGAAUUCACGGUGUAGCAGUGAAAUGCGUAGAUAUCGUGAGGAACACUAGUGGCGAAGGCGAGACUCUGGACACUUACUGACGCUGAGGCACGAAGGCCAGGGUAGCGAAAGGG